RNAcentral lists this ribosomal RNA (497 nucleotides) under uncultured bacterium. RNAcentral describes it as "partial 16S ribosomal RNA". It matches the Rfam family "Bacterial small subunit ribosomal RNA", at positions 28 to 507 of the family's 1533-position model. The record is from RNAcentral.
GAUGAACGCUGGCGGCGUGCCUAAUACAUGCAAGUCGAGCGAACGGACGAGAAGCUUGCUUUUCUGAUGUUAGCGGCGGACGGGUGAGUAACACGUGGAUAACCUACCUAUAAGACUGGGAUAACUUCGGGAAACCGGAGCUAAUACCGGAUAAUAUUUUGAACCGCAUGGUUCAAAAGUGAAAGACGGUCUUGCUGUCACUUAUAGAUGGAUCCGCGCUGCAUUAGCUAGUUGGUAAGGUAACGGCUUACCAAGGCAACGAUGCAUAGCCGACCUGAGAGGGUGAUAGGCCACACUGGAAGUGAGACACGGACCAGACGCCUACGGGAGGCAGCAGUAGGGAAUCUUCCGCAAUGGGCGAAAGCCUGACGGAGCAACGCCGCGUGAGUGAUGAAGGUCUUCGGAUCGUAAAACUCUGUUAUUAGGGAAGAACAUAUGUGUAAGUAACUGUGCACAUCUUGACGGUACCUAAUCAGAAAGCCACGGCUAACUACGUG